Non-coding RNA from Peromyscus maniculatus bairdii (prairie deer mouse), 197 nucleotides. NCBI's taxonomy places the organism in Eukaryota, Metazoa, Chordata, Mammalia, Rodentia, Cricetidae. The record is from RefSeq and is a predicted model, not a curated record.
UCUGUUUCCGAAGCCUGCCUUCGCCCAACAGUUGCCUUUUUGUCUAACUUUUGUGUGAGGGAAGAGGAGGUGGAGGGGCCGGAACAUAAUGACUGUCCAACAGCUGUUUCUUCUCAUUUAAUAAACAGAAAGCCUGAAGUCAAGAAACCGAGUCACGAUCCAGAUGUUGAACUCUCGGCUCCUUCUUCAGCACCAUG